Molecule: long non-coding RNA, 1346 nt
Filed under: Apteryx owenii (little spotted kiwi)
Lineage: Eukaryota; Metazoa; Chordata; Aves; Apterygiformes; Apterygidae
Description: lncRNA (ENSAOWG00000010970.1)
Source: RNAcentral
AUGUGAUCUGGGGAACAUUACCGACCACAGUUAUGCAUCUAUCACCAUUUGGAUUUGUUACAGCUGUCAAGCUCUGAGAUGACUCAUUACGCUGCUGGGAUCAACCGCCCUAAGGGCAGCACUGACCAUGGGGGACGGAGCUGUGUUGUUCAGCGCCAGAGCUGGAAGAAAACUGUUCACAAGAGAGGCUCACCCUCAGCCCCAACUUCUUCAAAAAGAGUAUGUGGCUUGGGCACCCACCACAUGUAAAAGCGAACCUGAAAGGCAGAAGUGGCUGACAUUCCAGUGCUGGUCUUCAUUUAAACAGAGACUACUAAUUAUGGUAUUAGAAAUCAGAUUUAAAUAAUGAAAUUCUUAUCACAGGGGAGUUAUUCUGAAACAGAAUUUAGCACUUCAUCAGAGAAAGCCUAAUGCAUUAACCCACUAGGCUUCUGAUAUUAGAAUUGUCAUGGAUGUGUCUUAAUGAAACAUACUGUAGUUACUUUUCAUAAAAAAUGAUAGACAAGAUUGUAAUCUAUUUUGGGCAAUGCAAGACUGAUGAGGAAAAAAAUUAAGUAGGAAAAUAUGUCAUUAAGCAAUUUGUUCAUCAAGUUCAGUAUCUUGACACUGCCCAUGACAAGCACCUACUGCUUCAAAGAGAAAAUCCUUCUACAUUUUAUCUAGAUUCUGUGUAUGUAUAAUGAUAAAAACUCCUCCUUGGUUCCUGCAGUUAUUGUAAAGCAUCAGAUUUAAUCAUCCGACUACAAACUUAAUGCAGUUACUUAAAAAUUCCAGCUUAUUCUAUACAUAUUAAACAAUUAUCAUCUUCUAUUAUCCAACAGGAUUUUAAAAGGGGAGUAUUUUUGCUAUAACAUUUUAAACAGAAAAAUAUUCAUAGCUCUUCCAUCAUAAUGCUGCACAUCAAAGCUGAGUUCUGCAGCCAGUUUGCUGAACUCCUCUGUAAUCCUCAACAUGUUACUUGCAUAUAGCAUUUACAGAAUUUUACUUAAUAGGGAGAGAUUAGACAAAGAAAGUGAAUUAUUUGGUUUUUGUUAAGGUUGUUAAACUUUCAGGAACUACAGUUACAAAUUUCAGAAAUAACUGAAUACUUAUGAAAUCAAUAUGUAAUUUGGCAUUUAUUAGAAGACCUUCCUGAAUAUACAACAACAAAACAGCAGCUAGCACUGUGUAUGGACUAAAAGCAUUGAAAGAAAUGUGGAGGUGAAACUAAAACUCAUAUCCGAAGUAUAUUGUUGUUUCAAAACAAAUCUGAAUUUCAUGGCACAAACCUCCUCCCACCACCAAAGACACUCAGCCCUGAAUAUCAAGCGCAUAUGGAAGUCAGCCAAAAUCCAAAUGACAGGCAA